Molecule: long non-coding RNA, 332 nt
Organism: Sapajus apella (tufted capuchin)
Lineage: Eukaryota; Metazoa; Chordata; Mammalia; Primates; Cebidae
Exons: 3
Source: RefSeq, a predicted model, not a curated record
AUUUCCAAGUUUAUCAUCAUUCAAAGUUGUUUCUUCGUAUGUUAAAAGAUGGGAGGUAGCAUAAAUUUUCUACGGAAAACUCAGAAACACUCAAUUUACUUUAUGUUCAGUUGCACAAUGCAAAGUUGACACUUUAAUAAAUCCCAAAUAAACAUUUGUUCCAAAAUAAAAGUUCAAGAAAAAUUAUCUGACUUCAAUAUUAGAAAUCGAAAUUUUCAUAAAGAAAUCUUGUGUUUGUUUAAAUGAGUUGGUAACUUUUCUCAGGCAGCAACCAAAACCAAAACAUUUAACACAGAUUCCCUCAAUCUCAUGAUUUCUAAAGGACACAAAAA